AGAGUUUGAUCCUGGCUCAGGACGAACGCUGGCGGCGUGCUUAACACAUGCAAGUCGAACGAUGAACCACUUCGGUGGGGAUUAGUGGCGAACGGGUGAGUAACACGUGGGCAAUCUGCCCUUCACUCUGGGACAAGCCCUGGAAACGGGGUCUAAUACCGGAUAUCACUGCCACUCGCAUGGGUGGUGGUUGAAAGCUCCGGCGGUGAAGGAUGAGCCCGCGGCCUAUCAGCUUGUUGGUGAGGUAAUGGCUCACCAAGGCGACGACGGGUAGCCGGCCUGAGAGGGCGACCGGCCACACUGGGACUGAGACACGGCCCAGACUCCUACGGGAGGCAGCAGUGGGGAAUAUUGCACAAUGGGCGAAAGCCUGAUGCAGCGACGCCGCGUGAGGGAUGACGGCCUUCGGGUUGUAAACCUCUUUCAGCAGGGAAGAAGCGAAAGUGACGGUACCUGCAGAAGAAGCGCCGGCUAACUACGUGCCAGCAGCCGCGGUAAUAC
This 501-nucleotide ribosomal RNA is filed under the name uncultured bacterium. RNAcentral's name for it is "bacterial SSU rRNA". It matches the Rfam family "Bacterial small subunit ribosomal RNA", at positions 8 to 526 of the family's 1533-position model. The record is from RNAcentral.